AUAUAGGUCCUCUAUUUCCAUUUUGUAGAGCAAUAGAGCCCAUGGCUUUUUGCCCAAGUUGGUUGAACCCUUGAAUAGUCAGCAUGGAAGGAGACAACUGUCGGACAAUCUAACAAGAUUAGAUUAAUGGUCGUCCCUCCCACUUCGCCAGUGAUCUAGAGAGGUCGAUUAUGGAAUUUGAACCCAAGUAAAAAGUCCUCUUCACCAAAAGUAAUUGCUCCCAG
RNAcentral lists this long non-coding RNA (224 nucleotides) under Prunus persica (peach). RNAcentral's name for it is "long non-coding RNA (PPER_LNC006130)". The record is from RNAcentral. Lineage: Eukaryota; Viridiplantae; Streptophyta; Magnoliopsida; Rosales; Rosaceae.